GUGACGCUCGCUCGCGGAAGAAACUUCGGACUUGUGUUAUAAAUGUGACUGUUCUUCAGGCGUUGUUCAUGUUCUUCGGAAGUUCACUGAGUCGCACGUGAAUGAUGGAUCUCGAGGAAACUAUCAAAAACAUCUCUCUCUAACUUCCAUCCCCC
Penaeus monodon (black tiger shrimp) is the source of this 155-nucleotide long non-coding RNA. RefSeq lists it as uncharacterized. The record is from RefSeq and is a predicted model, not a curated record. Lineage: Eukaryota; Metazoa; Arthropoda; Malacostraca; Decapoda; Penaeidae. The transcript is spliced from 2 exons.